This 497-nucleotide ribosomal RNA is filed under the name uncultured bacterium. RNAcentral describes it as "partial 16S ribosomal RNA". It matches the Rfam family "Bacterial small subunit ribosomal RNA", at positions 28 to 507 of the family's 1533-position model. The record is from RNAcentral.
GAUGAACGCUGGCGGCGUGCCUAAUACAUGCAAGUCGAGCGAACAGACGAGGAGCUUGCUCCUCUGACGUUAGCGGCGGACGGGUGAGUAACACGUGGAUAACCUACCUAUAAGACUGGGAUAACUUCGGGAAACCGGAGCUAAUACCGGAUAAUAUAUUGAACCGCAUGGUUCAAUAGUGAAAGACGGUUUUGCUGUCACUUAUAGAUGGAUCCGCGCCGCAUUAGCUAGUUGGUAAGGUAACGGCUUACCAAGGCGACGAUGCGUAGCCGACCUGAGAGGGUGAUCGGCCACACUGGAACUGAGACACGGUCCAGACUCCUACGGGAGGCAGCAGUAGGGAAUCUUCCGCAAUGGGCGAAAGCCUGACGGAGCCACGCCGCGUGUGUGAUGAAGGUCUUCGGAUCGUAAAACUCUGUUAUUAGGGAAGAACAAAUGUGUAAGUAACUAUGCACGUCUUGACGGUACCUAAUCAGAAAGCCACGGCUAACUACGUG